GUGAAUAUAGCGCAUCUCUUCGGAGAGCGUGACCUCCACUUUCAACUCUGUGCAUUUUUUUGGCGAGGGAACGAGACGAAGCGACGCAAGUUGCAGACUCUCGCCUCUUGCGGCUCAUUUAAACACUAGUCAAAGUAUGUAACGAAAUAUCGAAACAAAAA
This 161-nucleotide unclassified non-coding RNA is filed under the name uncultured Leucosporidium. Its description in RNAcentral is "sequence contains ITS1". The record is from RNAcentral. Lineage: Eukaryota; Fungi; Basidiomycota; Microbotryomycetes; Leucosporidiales.